UCCCUUCAUUUGCUAAGAUGUUCUCAAGUCUCAUUCCUUGGGUAGUUGAACUUCAAUUCCGAUAUAAGUAGGUUUCUAAUCUUGGGUUUUCUGGACUUGGUUGAAACAUGGACUUUUCAGAUCAGAUGGAAAGCUUCUGGUCUUGUUUUCAAUUCUGUUUUAAAGAGAUGAGGAAGAACUGAUGAGGGCUAUGAGGUGUAGCAGGUCAUUGAGUUCAUGACCUUGGCAAGAAUCGAGAUAGGACCGAAGUUUUGGAUGAAGGACAUUAGUCUGAGGCCACCACUGCGUCGAAGAGUUCUGUAAGAUACCUGGGAUCCGAAAGGUUAAAGGUGGUGGAUUGCAGUCACGACAAAUUAGCUUCUAGUUUGGGAGAGAAGAUUGGUAAGGGCCUGAUUUGGUGAUCUUGGAAUUGUUGUGGUUGAAUUGAACAAAAUUGUGAAUUCAUGGUGAAUUAAGCAUGUUGUAAGAUGAUUGGAAAAUGGAUUAAAUGGAGGUUGAAUUGAGGUGACUUUUUAUUUUGAGUUAAAUGCUUAAACAGUUUGGUAAUUGAGAUCAGAUCAAUUUUACUAAGUAAACUAGAUGUUGUAAUUGAUGUUAAUAUUGAG
RNAcentral lists this long non-coding RNA (605 nucleotides) under Rosa chinensis. RNAcentral describes it as "sRNA RchiOBHm_Chr6g0258431". The record is from RNAcentral. Lineage: Eukaryota; Viridiplantae; Streptophyta; Magnoliopsida; Rosales; Rosaceae.